Cavia porcellus (domestic guinea pig) is the source of this 5553-nucleotide long non-coding RNA. RefSeq lists it as uncharacterized. The record is from RefSeq and is a predicted model, not a curated record. Lineage: Eukaryota; Metazoa; Chordata; Mammalia; Rodentia; Caviidae. The transcript has 3 exons.
AUCGUAGGUGUGCUGUUCAGAGGUGGCUGGAUGUAGGUGUGUGGUCCUGAGGUUAAGGAUGUGGGAUUAUUAAAUCAGCUCACUGAUUUAUGUGGCAUAGCUCUAGGUGUGGACAAUGGGAAGACCGAGCUGGAUUGUGGAUGACGGCACUCAAACAGUGCGUAGUAUAGACAGGCAGGAGGAAGGCAGGCCAGGUGAUGCUUCUGUCCUACUUCUCAGCUCUGUUGCUUUCUGCUUCCACCAUGUACUGCUUCUCCCCUGCAGCCCUCCUCUGCCAAGUCACCCUGCCUGGAGCCAGCCAACCAUAAACGGAAACCGCUGCAAACUGUGAGCUAAAUAAACCUUUCCUCCUUUAAUUUUGGGUGGUGGGUAUUUUGUCUCAGCAAUGAAGAAAGUAACCAUGACAUUUGCUUGCUGAUUUCUUCAGCAUAUUAUGUGACAAGUAAACACACAAUUUUUGUUUUACUUCUUAUUUAUUAGUGCAUGUUUGAAGUACAUAAUGUUUUAUUCCUUGUGUGUAUUAGUAUUUGUACAUAACACACCUGCAUUUCAUCUUUCAUCCCCCUUUCCUGCUCUCUCUUCAUCUCUUGAUCCCUUUCCAUUUUGAGAAAGAUAUAGCUCCCUAUUUCCUAUUAAUUUUUGUUUUUAUUUUUAUCUACAACUUGGAUUUCUCACGUAAGACAAAUCAUGUGAUGUUUAAGUUUGGGUGUCUUAUUUAUUUCACUUAAUAUUAUGUUCUCAAGUGUAUCCAUUUUUCUAUAAAUGACUUAUUUAUCAUAAUCCAGAGUAGUUAUUUAUUUUUACUUUUUCCAUGGCCCAUUUUUCUGGGUUUUUCAGAGAACUUGUAGGAAAGCCAACAGCGGUCCCAAUGACUAAGAUUACCUGGCUCCUCCAGGACGUGGGCCUCGAAGAAGGCAACACGCUCAGGACAUUGCCCAGAGCCAGUGCCUGUUGGUGAAUUCAUACACCAGAAUGUUACACAUGGGCCAUAGAAGUAGGUGUUUUGCUUUGUUUGAAUAACUUGGCAAAAAUUAAUGAUAUCUGCUGGUACCGUCAGAAGGGCAGAGAUGAACAUAUAUGAAGGAGACAAGGGAGCAGAAUUUUGUAACAUCAAGUUUCAGGCAAAUACAAAAACUUUAUUUUGUUUUUAUCUUAACUUGAACAGGGAAAGGGUCAUGCAAAGUGUUAUUGAUGUUAAUAGGAGACUGUAACAAUGGAGAAUUGACUAAUGAAUAAAAAGCGAAUUUCUGAGACAGGAAUAACAGACAGAAAGGACAGCUGUCAUUUUUCCCCUACGUGGCUAGGAGCAUCUCAGGCAGAGCCCUCCUCCUAGGCCCAGGGCAGCGGUCCAGACCUUGUUAGGGGGCAUGGCUUUGGCUUGCUGAGAUGGUGUGCAACAGGAAUUUGCUGGAAACAGCCUUUGGAACGCAGAGAAAGGCCUUUCUCUGCUGGGAAGCACAGCACCUCUAAACGCUGUCUGACACCCCGGAGAGGGAACCAGGAGACUCUGUAGGCAUCUAGCACUGGUGGAGCCACAUGCAUUGACCCUCAUUUUGUAUUUACACUGUGAAAGUAUUCCAGGUAGAGCUCAGUGACUUCUAAAUCUCAGUUUCUUCCUUGUUAAAUAAUCAAGCUACUUUUUGCCAGGUAAAUUUGAGUCUGUGGGGAAAUGGCAAAAAUCAUUGCAAACUGUUUUCAUGUGUUCACAUCUAUAAGAGUCUUCCUUUGGCUGGAGAUUUUGUACUCUGUUAAAAUGCAAAUACCCCAUCGAAGAAAUAGCAUUUUAAAGCUGUUAUCAAUCAUUCAUUGCUUAAUGUCAGGAAGGUACUGUCUCCUUUCCAGGCAGUGGUGUUUGAUGUGAUUGUUGAGGGAAGAAGGGAGAUGAGAGGACCCAGGACAGUGAAGGACCCUGGAAAGUUGCUCCCAACCCAAGCAGACAGCGGAGAUGGCAGCUGGCAGCCGGGGUGGCAGCCCAACCCCGCCUCCUUCACGGCUUCUGGAGCCCUGUCCUGAGUUCUUCAAAAACAUCAAAUGCAAAACCCACUUUCUUUGUAGAACAUUUCCCUCCGUUUCUUCUCUUUUCUUACUUGCUUCGGGGAGGUUUAUGGUUUGAAAAAUUAAAGUGUGGAUCUAUUUUCAUUACCAAAGGAUUUGCAAACUGAGCGGGCCCGUCUGAGCGCCCAUUUGCAUUUGCCAUCCCUUAAGCUGAUUUUCAGUGCUGUGCAGCUAUUUUAAAUGUUUUCAAGAGCUUCCUUUUUAACUCUUUUCCUUACUUGUAUUAUGUAUUUCUGCAGUUUAAAAAAAUUCCAUUGCUGAUUCGUGGUUGAAAAUCUCAAUAGCAAUCAGCAACUAUAAUCAAGAGAAGACUAUUCGCUCAGGGAAUAUUGGGCAAUUGGAGUGAAUAUUGAAAGGGCUACUAGGUUAGAUGGGGAGGUGACACCAUAUCUGUGGCCUCAGGGAACGUAAUGACUUUGAGGUUUCUUUAUGACUGGGGUAGUGGUGCAGUUGGUAUUUAUAGAAAUGGGUUAAAGUACAAAAGAAAAACGUGAUGGAAACAACUUCCAUUUUUCAAUAAUACUAGGUCAAACUCUUGUUGGUUACGCAUCUUCUGCACAUUAUGUAGACAAAUUAUCCAUUUUUUAAUAAUGCUAGGUCAAAAAGCUUGUUGGUUACCCAUUUUCUGCAAACUAGGUAGACUAUGAGGUCGUUUACGUGGUGUGACUGCAGAACCACACGCUUCCAGGCCUGUCCAGCCGGUCUCUUCCUGGCACCCCUCACAUUGUGCUUCGACCUGGAGCACUGCCAGCAUUGCUUCUGUGAGGUUUUCCUGGCUCUUCCAAAGUAUGGCUUUUUGGGAUUCCUAUUAUAGCUUGUGCAUAUCAUUUUAAAAUGAUGGUCUCCUUUUAAAAUAUAUUGUCAUUUAAUCUGUUUAUUUAUUGGAAAAUGUAUAUGCAUGAGUAUUUGGGGAACCAGUGGUGGGAUGUUAUGGCUUGUGUCUAGAUGUUCCCCCAAAGCCUCAUGUGGUCACAGGUGGGACUUUUCAAGUAAUGGCUGAAACUAGAGAGUGUGAUUGAUUAAUGGUACAAAGCUAGGAUUAAGGGUACUUGGUUAAGGAUGGGUGAUUACUAAAUCAGUCCAUUGACUGCACUAAUUUUGGUAGCUUAGAUAUAAAAUGCCUGGCAUGGAUAUAAAAGCACAAAAAAAGCUGGUAAGUUUCCUUGUUUUGCAACCUCUGACUGCCAUUAACUGUUUCUCCUCUGUGAUGCCCCUCUGCCAUGCCACUCUGCCUUGGAGCCAGCCAAUUAUGGACUGAAACCUCUGCAAAUGAUGGACUAAAUAAUCCUUUCCUUCUUCAGCUUUGGGUGUCAGAUAUUUGGUCCUAGCACCCGGAAAAAUAAUCAAGACAGGUUAUCUUUAUAGCUUGUAUAAAAUGGUGGUCUUCUUUUAAAACAUGUAAUUUAAUCUGCUUACAUGUCUAGCUUCCCACUGGCUUAAAAAAUUGUUGCCUACAAGUAGUACGUCUUUAUUAUCUUUGAGUCCUACUUUAAGCUUUGUUGAAUUAACUAGAGUAAUAAUGGGUACAAAUUACAGACAGAUUUGCAGGAUUCUAAGUAGCCAAAACUGUUUAUGCUUUUUGAGUUGACUCUUAGGAAGUUAGUGGUGAGCACUGGGGUUUGAUGGUGAAGAAUUCCUCCAAGUAGGGAUAAUUAUGCAUGUCUAAUCCUAGACCCUUUGUUAGCUCUAGUCUGUGUAUUUGUGGAAAAACAAUAAUUAUGAUUGACUCUCUGUAUUUUUGUGUGUGUAUACAUUCAUUUCCAUAAGUUCAUCUUUUCAUACCUCUUUUUGAUCUUUUAAUAGUAAUAGGAGUUUUACUUAUAUAAACUUGUGCUUGAGAACCUAACCUAUAAGACAGAGGAAAAGCAGAGAACCUAUGGCCAAAAUAGAGGCAGAGAAUGUGAAGUUUUUGAAACUGGUUCCUUGUCAUCACUGGGUGUGGUAGAUCCUGAGUCUCCAAGGAACCCAGUUUGAAAAGCACUGAUUUCGACAGAGUGAACACAUGAGAAUAAAUCUUUUCCAAAUACAUCAUACAGAAAUGGGUUAUAUAUGUACAAGGUUUUCAUAUGACUCAGAGCUCUGAACCUCCAAAUCAUUUUUACAGCUUAAAAAUUGGUAUUGAAAUAAUCACUCAGGUUUAAUUUUAGGAAACUUCGGUCAAUCAGUAUGUAUGACUUUUAAGUUUAAUCCUUCCUUUGGGAAUCACAGAAGCUCCUUCCACUCCAACGCUCUUUGAUUUUCUGAUUGUGAAGGGCAAGGUUAGGAAGAAAUAAACAAGGUGACUAGGUUCCAAGGGCUAGCUUUCUUGGCACAAAUGAAUAAUUGGAAAGCCAGCAUAAUCAAAGUAAUUUCAUCCAUCAUGUACAGAAAGGGAAAUAGAAUUCAGGUUAUUAAGGUUGCAUGAAACUGCUUUUUGAAUGUAUGUACAUAUUUCUUCCUAGGGGCUAGAUAACAUUUCCUAUUUUUAUUUCUAAAAGGAGUUAUGGAAAAAAGACAACUGAAAAUAUAACAAGCACUGUGGCCUCAAAGAAAAACUAGAAUAAUUCAUUAAAGAAAAGAAAAGGGUUUUAGGUUCCCAUUUUAAAAGAACAGCUUGCAAACCAGGACAUUUGCUCUCAGCCCCUGAAGUACACCAGGGCCACGCGCCUAUGAAGUCCUCAUGGCUGCUGCUGACAGCAGGCUCAGCCCAUCAGAUCCUCGGUCUGGAUGAAGGAGUCAGGUAAUUUAAUUUGGAGUUUCACAGUUGCCUACGUGUAUGACCUUUUGGAGUUUGAGGAAAACAAGAUGCAGAAGUGGAGGAAAAGUGAACCAAAGAAGGCCAGCUCCACCACACGGAAGAGCCUGAGACUGCUAACUGGGAGCAAGAAAGGGGACCCACAGAAAAGAAGAUUGGAGCCAGGAGAGAAAGCGCGUUCAGGAGAGCUCUGAUGCCCGGGGCUACUGGGCUGGCUAGAUUUUGAUUUCCUUGAAGACAGAGCCAUGCUCUAGUGUGGUGAAGUAUCCAUCGCCUGCUGCUCCUUGCGCAUUGCCCUGUGGACAGAGAGUUCUUGCUGGCUCACCAGUUCACUCCUCGUGCCAAAUGCCCAGGGAGAUCUAACGCAGCAUCUACACCAGGCAAGCAAAGGACUUAAGCCAUUCUCGUCUGCUAGAGAGCAGUGUGCACUGUGGAGUCACCACUGUAUCCUGUCUGUCCUCCACUUUGUUCCAGAUGAGACAGGAGGGUAGGAAAAGCUUUGCUUUUAGGACAGGCAGGAGACAUGUAUGCAGUCAUCUUCUUCCAGCUUGGAAGUCAGCAUGUGAAACCAAGGCGGAUAACUUCUGCUUCAUGUCUCAGAACUUCACAAGCAACAGCCACUCAACAUAAAGCAAAGCAAAGCAAAAUAAAACCCAACCUCAGGAUCUAAGAACUCAGAUUACUGUUAUUUAACUAUUGCUAUUCAUAGCAUUUGCAUUGUCCCCUGGGCUGAAAUAAAUACUAGACAUCUUAAUUACAUAUAA